Molecule: ribosomal RNA, 229 nt
Filed under: Listeria monocytogenes
Lineage: Bacteria; Bacillati; Bacillota; Bacilli; Caryophanales; Listeriaceae
Description: partial 16S ribosomal RNA
Rfam family: Bacterial small subunit ribosomal RNA
Source: RNAcentral
UUUAAAGAGAGUUUGAUCCUGGCUCAGGACGAACGCUGGCGGCGUGCCUAAUACAUGCAAGUCGAACGAACGGAGGAAGAGCUUGCUCUUCCAAAGUUAGUGGCGGACGGGUGAGUAACACGUGGGCAACCUGCCUGUAAGUUGGGGAUAACUCCGGGAAACCGGGGCUAAUACCGAAUGAUAAAGUGUGGCGCAUGCCACGCUUUUGAAAGAUGGUUUCGGCUAUCGC